Molecule: non-coding RNA, 45 nt
Filed under: Schistosoma mansoni
Lineage: Eukaryota; Metazoa; Platyhelminthes; Trematoda; Strigeidida; Schistosomatidae
Source: RNAcentral
AUCCAGUUGACGAGUCCCAAAUAGGACAAAAGUCGUGUCCUCGAU